Molecule: long non-coding RNA, 467 nt
Filed under: Phaseolus vulgaris (common bean)
Lineage: Eukaryota; Viridiplantae; Streptophyta; Magnoliopsida; Fabales; Fabaceae
Description: long non-coding RNA (PVUL_LNC001078)
Source: RNAcentral
GGAGGUGACGUGGUCACCAAUUCCAAUUAUUUUUGCUUGCAGGAUUGUCUCUCUUGAAGAGUAAAGUAAUAUAUUGACUGGAAUGGUUGAUUUUGAAUCUUUUAUAUUGAUUUUAAGGUGAAUAAUUUGUUGAAACUGUUUGUGAUUGAGAAUUGAAAGUGUUUGAAUGAUAAUAUAAAUGAGUUGAGCUAUUCUUUUGAAUAUUUUGGUUGAAUUACUUAAGUGAGAUGUUUGAUGAGAAGUGGUUGUGUGAUUUCAGAUGAUGGUUGAUUUAAAGAGCAUAUAUUUGGAAUUAAUUAUGUGUUUUAAGUAAAGUUUGAGAUAUAUUUGGAUUGUUUAGAAAGUUUAUAUAUGAAGUGAUUGAGUGGUGCAUUGAUAUGUUAAAUGAUGUAUGUAAUGAGGUUAAAGUGUGAUCAAGACGUAGUAUUUUCAGGAAAGGAAAUACCAUGUUGAGAUUGUUAUUANNN